UUUAAUUUAUUUAUAUCGACAAUAUAUAUAAACUAGGAAAAUUGACAUAACUACCCGUUUGCAUAAUGUAUAAAUAUAUAUUUGUCUAGUAACUAUAAUCAUUUUUGGUCAAGCGUCCAAAUAUAUGAGAAAAAAGUCAGUAAAAUUAACUUAAGUGGUUGUCCGCAAAAAAAAACUGGUAGAUAUGUAAUAUAUGUAUUAUUAAUGUAUAAUACAUGUAUAUUCGCUAAC
This 231-nucleotide long non-coding RNA is filed under the name Solanum tuberosum (potato). Its description in RNAcentral is "long non-coding RNA (STUB_LNC007001)". Lineage: Eukaryota; Viridiplantae; Streptophyta; Magnoliopsida; Solanales; Solanaceae. The record is from RNAcentral.